UUGAGAGUUUGAUCCUGGCUCAGAACGAACGCUGGC
This 36-nucleotide ribosomal RNA is filed under the name Alexandrium margalefii. RNAcentral's name for it is "partial Bacterial small subunit ribosomal RNA". Lineage: Eukaryota; Dinophyceae; Gonyaulacales; Pyrocystaceae. The record is from RNAcentral.